Molecule: ribosomal RNA, 612 nt
Filed under: uncultured Thelephoraceae
Lineage: Eukaryota; Fungi; Basidiomycota; Agaricomycetes; Thelephorales; Thelephoraceae
Description: eukaryotic LSU rRNA
Rfam family: 5.8S ribosomal RNA (bases 179-333)
Source: RNAcentral
AAGACGGUGGCAUGUUGCACGCGUCUGUUUUACACAUCCACNUCACACCUUGAUGCACCCGUCUGUUAGUUCUAUGGUUCGGAAGACCCCGUCUUCCUUCCGUGGCUCUACGUCUUUACACACACGCNGUUAGCGACGUCUCAUGGAAUGUUUUUAUGCGUUUAACGCGAUACAAUACAACUUUCAGCAACGGAUCUCUUGGCUCUCGCAUCGAUGAAGAACGCAGCGAAAUGCGAUAAGUAAUGUGAAUUGCAGAAUUCANUGAAUCAUCGAAUCUUUGAACGCACCUUGCGCCCCUUGGUUAUUCCUUGGAGCAUGCCUGUUUGAGUAUCAUGAACACCUCAACUCUCGUGGUCUUCCACGAUGAGCUUGGACUUUGGAGGUUUGCUGGCCCUGUGGCCGGCUCCUCUCAAACGAAUCANCUUGCCGAUGUUUGGUGGCAUCACGGGUGUGAUAACUAUCUACGCUCGNGGUCGUCUGCCAGGUUACCNUCAGCGAUGAAGGUUCAUUGGGGCUCACAAACGUCUCUCCUCAGCGAAGACAACUUUUGAACGUUCGAUCUCAAAUCAGGUAGGACUACCCGCUGAACUUAAGCAUAUCAAUAAGCGGAGG